Molecule: ribosomal RNA, 719 nt
Filed under: uncultured bacterium
Lineage: Bacteria
Description: bacterial SSU rRNA
Rfam family: Bacterial small subunit ribosomal RNA
Source: RNAcentral
ACAGGGGGAUAACACUUAGAAAUAGGUGCUAAUACCGCAUAAGCGCACGGUUCCGCAUGGAACAGUGUGAAAAACUCCGGUGGUAUACGAUGGAUCCGCGUCUGAUUAGCCAGUUGGCGGGGUAACGGCCCACCAAAGCGACGAUCAGUAGCCGGCCUGAGAGGGUGAACGGCCACAUUGGGACUGAGACACGGCCCAAACUCCUACGGGAGGCAGCAGUGGGGAAUAUUGCACAAUGGGGGAAACCCUGAUGCAGCGACGCCGCGUGAGUGAAGAAGUAUUUCGGUACGUAAAGCUCUAUCAGCAGGGAAGAAAAAAAGUCCUUUGGACUUUGGACGGUACCUGACCAAGAAGCCCCGGCUAACUACGUGCCAGCAGCCGCGGUAAUACGUAGGGGGCAAGCGUUAUCCGGAUUUACUGGGUGUAAAGGGAGCGUAGACGGCAGCGCAAGUCUGGAGUGAAAUGCCGGGGCCCAACCCCGGAACUGCUUUGGAAACUGUGCAGCUGGAGUGCAGGAGAGGUAAGCGGAAUUCCUAGUGUAGCGGUGAAAUGCGUAGAUAUUAGGAGGAACACCAGUGACGAAGGCGGCUUACUGGACUGUAACUGACGUUGAGGCUCGAAAGCGUGGGGAGCAAACAGGAUUAGAUACCCUGGUAGUCCACGCCGUAAACGAUGAUUACUAGGUGUCGGGGGGCCAAGGCCCUUCGGUGCCGCCGCAA